UACGGAGGGUGCAAGCGUUGUUCGGAUUUAUUGGGCGUAAAGCGCGUGUAGGCGGUUUCUUAAGUCUGAUGUGAAAGCCCUGGGCUCAACCCAGGAAGUGCAUUGGAUACUGGGAAACUUGAAUACGGGAGAGGGUAGUGGAAUUCCUAGUGUAGGAGUGAAAUCCGUAGGUAUUAGGAGGAACACCGGUGGCGAAGGCGGCUACCUGGACCGAUAUUGACGCUGAGACGCGAAAGCGUGGGGAGCAAACAGG
RNAcentral lists this ribosomal RNA (253 nucleotides) under uncultured bacterium. RNAcentral's name for it is "partial 16S ribosomal RNA". It matches the Rfam family "Bacterial small subunit ribosomal RNA", at positions 524 to 776 of the family's 1533-position model. The record is from RNAcentral.